CCCUUAGAUGUUCUGGGCCGCACGCGUGCUACACUGAGUGGAUCAGCGGGUCAGGUUGCGCGAAAGUGUUUCCUAAUCUUUAAAUCCGCUCGUGAUGGGGAUUGACGGUUGCAAUUUUCUGUCAUGAACGAGGAAUACCUUGUAAGCGCGGGUCAUCAUCCCGCGCUGAAUACGUCCCUGCCCUUUGUACACACCGCCCGUCGCUCCUACCGAUUGAGUGGUCCGGUGGGGCUUUGGGAUCUGAGCGGAAAGAGCGUUUCGCUGUUUCUGCUCGGAAAACUCAGUCGAACCUUAUCAUUUAGAGGAAGGAGAAGUCGUAACA
Molecule: ribosomal RNA, 322 nt
Filed under: uncultured eukaryote
Lineage: Eukaryota
Description: partial 18S ribosomal RNA
Rfam family: Eukaryotic small subunit ribosomal RNA
Source: RNAcentral